UAGGGAAUUUUGCGCAAUGGGGGAAACCCUGACGCAGCGACGCCGCGUGAGUGAAGAAGGCCUUCGGGUUGUAAAGCUCUGUCAGAAGGGAAGAAUAAGUGAGUCAUAAUAAGGCUCAUGAUGACGGUACCUUCAGAGGAAGCACCGGCUAACUCUGUGCCAGCAGCCGCGGUAAUACAGAGGGUGCAAGCGUUAUUCGGAAUCACUGGGCGUAAAGCGCAUGUAGGUUGGUUAUCAAGUCAGAUGUGAAAUCCUGGGGCUCAACUUCAGAAUUGCAUUUGAAACUGAUAGUCUUGAGUCUGGCAGAGGGAGGUAGAAUUCCAGGUGUAGAGGUGAAAUUCGUAGAUAUCUGGAGGAAUACCGGAGGCGAAGGCGACUUCCUGGGCCAGUACUGACACUGAGAUGCGAAAGCGUGGGUAGCAAACAGG
This 428-nucleotide ribosomal RNA is filed under the name uncultured bacterium. Its description in RNAcentral is "bacterial SSU rRNA". It matches the Rfam family "Bacterial small subunit ribosomal RNA", at positions 355 to 776 of the family's 1533-position model. The record is from RNAcentral.